AAACUUCCUACGGGAGGCAGCAGUAAGGGAAUCUUCCACAAUGGACGCAAGUCUGAUGGAGCAACGCCGCGUGAGUGAAGAAGGCUUUCGGGUCGUAAAACUCUGUUGUUGGAGAAAGAAUGGUCGGCAGAGUAACUGUUGUCGGCGUGACGGUAUCCAACCAGAAAGGCCACGGCUAACUACGUGCCAGCAGCCGCGGUAAUA
Molecule: ribosomal RNA, 204 nt
Filed under: Lacticaseibacillus paracasei
Lineage: Bacteria; Bacillati; Bacillota; Bacilli; Lactobacillales; Lactobacillaceae
Description: partial 16S ribosomal RNA
Rfam family: Bacterial small subunit ribosomal RNA
Source: RNAcentral